RNAcentral lists this long non-coding RNA (200 nucleotides) under Oryza brachyantha (malo sina). RNAcentral describes it as "long non-coding RNA (OBRA_LNC000468)". Lineage: Eukaryota; Viridiplantae; Streptophyta; Magnoliopsida; Poales; Poaceae. The record is from RNAcentral.
GUCUCCACUGGGCCACCUCUGUAUCAAGACUUCCCACACACAACCAACACACAUCUUUUCUACGCACUUUAUCCUCACUCAUGCGCACCCGGGAAUAACUUCCGGGUCGGUCACCCAUCCCAAUAUUGCUCCAGGCCAAGCACGCUUAACCUUAGAGUUCUCUUGAGAUAAGCUUCCGGAAAAGAAGUUGCAACUUGUUG